This 482-nucleotide ribosomal RNA is filed under the name uncultured bacterium. RNAcentral describes it as "partial 16S ribosomal RNA". It matches the Rfam family "Bacterial small subunit ribosomal RNA", at positions 30 to 507 of the family's 1533-position model. The record is from RNAcentral.
AUUGAACGCUGGCGGCAUGCUUUACACAUGCAAGUCGAACGGUAACAGGCCGCAAGGUGCUGACGAGUGGCGAACGGGUGAGUAAUGCAUCGGAACGUGCCCAGUCGUGGGGGAUAACUACUCGAAAGAGUAGCUAAUACCGCUUACGAUCUAUGGAUGAAAGCGGGGGACCGUAAGGCCUCGCGCGAUUGGAGCGGCCGAUGUCAGAUUAGGUAGUUGGUGGGGUAAAGGCUCACCAAGCCAACGAUCUGUAGCUGGUCUGAGAGGACGACCAGCCACACUGGGACUGAGACACGGCCCAGACUCCUACGGGAGGCAGCAGUGGGGAAUUUUGGACAAUGGGCGCAAGCCUGAUCCAGCAAUGCCGCGUGCAGGAAGAAGGCCUUCGGGUUGUAAACUGCUUUUGUACGGAACGAAACGGCUCUGGUUAAUACCCGGGGCUAAUGACGGUACCGUAAGAAUAGGCACCGGCUAACUACGUG